UACAGAGGUGGCAAGCGUUGUUCGGAAUUACUGGGCGUAAAGGGCGCGUAGGCGGUCUUGUAAGUUCCGUGUGAAAGCCCUUGGCUCAACUGAGGAAGUGCACCCGAAACUGAGUAGCUGGAGUACGAAAGAGGGUCGCGGAAUUCCCGGUGUAGAGGUGAAAUUCGUAGAUAUCGGGAGGAACACCGGUGGCGAAGGCGGCGACCUGGGUCGAGACUGACGCUGAGGCGCGAAAGCGUGGGGAGCAAACAGG
RNAcentral lists this ribosomal RNA (253 nucleotides) under uncultured bacterium. RNAcentral describes it as "partial 16S ribosomal RNA". It matches the Rfam family "Bacterial small subunit ribosomal RNA", at positions 524 to 776 of the family's 1533-position model. The record is from RNAcentral.